Molecule: ribosomal RNA, 449 nt
Filed under: uncultured bacterium
Lineage: Bacteria
Description: partial 16S ribosomal RNA
Rfam family: Bacterial small subunit ribosomal RNA
Source: RNAcentral
AACGAACGCUGGCGGCAGGCUUAACACAUGCAGGUCGAACGAGAUCUUCGGAUCUAGUGGCAGACGGGUGAGGAACACGUGGGAACAUCCCUUUCAGUUCGGAAUAACGUUGGGAAACUAACGCUAAUACCGGAUACGUCCUUCGGGAGAAAGAUUUAUCGCUGAAAGAUUGGCCCGCGUCUGAUUAGCUAGUUGGUGAGGUAAUGGCUCACCAAGGCUACGAUCAGUAGCUGAUCUGAGAGGAUGAUCGGCCACAUUGGGACUGAGACACGGCCCAAACUCCUACGGGAGGCAGCAGUGGGGAAUAUUGGACAAUGGGCGCAAGCCUGAUCCAGCCAUGCCGCGUGAGUGAUGAAGGCCUUCGGGUUGUAAAGCUCUUUUAUCCGGGAAGAUAAUGACUGUACCGGAAGAAUAAGCCCCGGCAAACUUCGUGCCAGCAGCCGCCGUAA